RNAcentral lists this ribosomal RNA (2015 nucleotides) under Parapetrolisthes tortugensis. RNAcentral's name for it is "SSU rRNA". It matches the Rfam family "Eukaryotic small subunit ribosomal RNA". The record is from RNAcentral. Lineage: Eukaryota; Metazoa; Arthropoda; Malacostraca; Decapoda; Porcellanidae.
UAUGCUUGUCUCAAAGAUUAAGCCAUGCAUGUGCAGUACAACGUCCAAAAAAAAAGGUGAAACCGCGAAUGGCUCAUUAAAACAGCUGUAAUUCCCUGGAGCUACAACUGAUGAAAACUCUCACCUAGUUGGAUAACUGUGGUAAUUCUAGAGCUAAUACAUGCCCCCAUAGUUCCUGGCCCCCUGGACUUUUUCAUGAUGAGUGAAAAAAUUACGUCUUGGAGAGGCAAGGCCGCUUUUAUUAGUACACAUCAAAACCAAUUGUUGGGCUCCGGUCCUUCAAUGGCCAAGUGUGGUGAACUCUGGAUAACUAUGCUGAGCGCAAGGCCAAAAUUAUAUUAAAUUUUGUGUCGGCGCCAUAUCCUUCAAGUGUCUGCCUUAUCAGCUCUAGAUUGUAGACUAAAUGCCUACAAUGGAUAUAACGGGUGACGGGGAAUCAGGGUUCGAUUCCGGAGAGGGAGCCUGAGAAACGGCUACCACAUCCAAGGAAGGCAGCAGGCACGCAAAUUACCCACUCCCGGCACGGGGAGGUAGUGACGAAAAAUAACAAUGUGAGACUCAUCCGAGGCCUCGCAAUUGGAAUGAGUACACUUUAAAUCCUUUAACGAGGACCAAUUGGAGGGCAAGUCUGGUGCCAGCAGCCGCGGUAAUUCCAGCUCCAAUAGCAUAUAUUAAUGUUGUUGCGGUUAAAAAGCUCGUAGUUGGAUCUAAAAUACAGGGCCGAGGGACGUCUAAGAUUGGCGCUUCUCUCGGUCUCCUGUAGUGCUCUCUCUCUCUGAUGAGGAGGGGAGAGCCAUGCCGGCACGCACGGGAUUCCCUUAAUCGGGUGUCCCGGGUGGCUGGCGAGUUUACUUUGAAAAAAUUAGAGUGCUCAAAGCAGGCAAAACUUAAUGCCUGAAUGGUUAUGCAUGGAAUAAUGGAAUAGGACCUUGGUUCUAUUUUGUUGGUUUAUACUGAACCUAAGGUAAUGACUAAUAAGGACAGUCGGGGGCAUUUGUACUGUGGCGCGAGGGGUGAAAUCCUGUGACCGUCACAAGACAAACAACAGCGAAAGCAUUUGCCAAGGAUGUUUUCAUUAAUCAAGAACGAAAGUUAGAGGUUCGAAGGCGAUCAGAUACCGCCCUAGUUCUAACCAUAAACGAUGCCAACCAGCAAUCUGUCGGCGUUAUACCCAUGACUCGACAGGAAGCUUCUGGGAAACCAAAGUUUUUGGGUUCCGGGGGAAGUAUGGUUGCAAAGCUGAAACUUAAAGGAAUUGACGGAAGGGCACCACCAGGAGUGGAGCCUGCGGCUUAAUUUGACUCAACACGGGAAACCUCACCAGGCCCAGACACUGGAAGGAUUGACAGAAUGAGAGCUCUUUCUCGAUUCAGUGGGUGGUGGUGCAUGGCCGUUCUUAGUUGGUGGAGUGAUUUGCUGGUAAUUCCGAUAACGAACGAGACUCUAGCCUACUAACUAGUCGACGGAUUCCAAGGGUACUAAGCACGUUAGCUUUCUUGGUUGGACGAGCACUUUCCAGUACUUCCGCCGCCUCCUCCUCCUCCGUGGUCUCGUGGGCUUUCUCUUGAGGGUCUACAGGCUACGUGGGGCUGGCUGGCUGGUUGGUUGGUGGUCGCAGAUUGUGUCUCUACUACUUCCUUGAUCAUGCUGCUGCUAAACCCAAUACGGUUUCCAGUCGCAGAAUCUCUUCUUAGAGGAAUAAGUAGCAGUACUAGCUGCAUGAGAUUGAGCAAUAACAGGUCUGUGAUGCCCUUAGAUGUUCUGGGCCGCACGCGCGCUACAAUGAAGGGAGCAGCGAGUGUUCCUUCUCCGAGAGGAGAGGGUAACCCGUUGAAAACCUUUCUUGAUAGGGAUUGGGACUUGCAAUUGUUUCCCAUGAACGAGGAAUUCCCAGUAAGCACGAGUCAUCAUCUUGUGCUGACUAAGUCCCUGCCCUUUGUACACACCGCCCGUCGCUACUACCGAUUGAAUGACUUAGUGAGGAUUUCGGACUGGCGAUCUUGGACGAUGAUGAC